UUGUCCUUUCCCCUUGCCUACAUCUCUGUCAGCUUUGUGGAUGCUAAGUAGAAGGCCCGAAGAAUUUCAAAAAGUGAGGCACUGAAUGUAGUGUGCCAAACUGAGUACUUAACUGGAUGUCCAAUUUUAGCCUGCAAAGUGAUCCCAGCCAACACCAGAAUUCGUGGAAGGUUCUCAGAGUGGAUCGGCACCCAACUCCAUACAGCAAGAGCCCGUCAUCACGGGCUGUCUUUGCACAAGUUCUCUACAGUCAUCUGCAAAUGAGUAUGAAAACUUUCCAGGGAUUUUAAUUUAGUAGCUAAGUUUCUUACUCAGAGCCAAAAAGCACC
RNAcentral lists this long non-coding RNA (329 nucleotides) under Dromaius novaehollandiae (emu). RNAcentral's name for it is "lncRNA (ENSDNVG00000015551.1)". The record is from RNAcentral. Lineage: Eukaryota; Metazoa; Chordata; Aves; Casuariiformes; Dromaiidae.